RNAcentral lists this ribosomal RNA (497 nucleotides) under uncultured bacterium. RNAcentral's name for it is "partial 16S ribosomal RNA". It matches the Rfam family "Bacterial small subunit ribosomal RNA", at positions 28 to 507 of the family's 1533-position model. The record is from RNAcentral.
GAUGAACGCUGGCGGCGUGCCUAAUACAUGCAAGUCGAGCGAACGGACGAGAAGCUUGCUUCUCUGAUGUUAGCGGCGGACGGGUGAGUAACACGUGGAUAACCUACCUAUAAGACUGGGAUAACUUCGGGAAACCGUAGCUAAUACCGGAUAAUAUUUCGAACCGCAUGGUUCAAAAGUGAAAGACGGUCUUGCUGUCACUUAUAGAUGGAUCCGCGCUGCAUUAGCUAGUUGGUAAGGUAACGGCUUACCAAGGCAACGAUGCAUAGCCGACCUGAGAGGGUGAUCGGCCACACUGGAACCGAGACACGGUCCAGACUCCUACGGGAGGCAGCAGUAGGGAAUCUUCCGCAAUGGGCGAAAGCCUGACGGAGCAACGCCGCGUGAGUGAUGAAGGUCUUCGGAUCGUAAAACUCUGUUAUUAGGGAAGAACAUAUGUGUAAGUAACUGUGCACAUCUUGACGGUACCUAAUCAGAAAGCCACGGCUAACUACGUG